This 277-nucleotide long non-coding RNA is filed under the name Phaseolus vulgaris (common bean). Its description in RNAcentral is "long non-coding RNA (PVUL_LNC001721)". The record is from RNAcentral. Lineage: Eukaryota; Viridiplantae; Streptophyta; Magnoliopsida; Fabales; Fabaceae.
CGGAUAUCAUAUAAAAUCUGCCCUUCCAGUCUUUGAAGGACUGCUGGUACAGGCCCAGAAGCACCCGUCCAGCAACCCCGUUCAGGCUGACCCAAAACCUAUCCCCUGGUUUCUUCGCCUCGAAGAAGUAGAGGAACACCUCCACCGAGGCGUUGUGCCCAAAGUAGUUGCACAGAAUCUGAAACGCCCGGAUGAAGGCCCAGGCAUUGGGGUGGAGUUGGCAGGGCGCGACGUUCAACUCCAUCAUCAGCUCUUUCUCGAAGAAGGUGAAGGGGAG